Molecule: ribosomal RNA, 668 nt
Filed under: Phlegmacium balteatum
Lineage: Eukaryota; Fungi; Basidiomycota; Agaricomycetes; Agaricales; Cortinariaceae
Description: eukaryotic LSU rRNA
Rfam family: Eukaryotic large subunit ribosomal RNA
Source: RNAcentral
GUGACCUCAAAUCAGGUAGGACUACCCGCUGAACUUAAGCAUAUCAAUAAGCGGAGGAAAAGAAACUAACAAGGAUUCCCCUAGUAACUGCGAGUGAAGCGGGAAAAGCUCAAAUUUAAAAUCUGUCAGUCUUUGGCUGUCCGAGUUGUAAUCUAGAGAAGUGGUAUCCGCGCUGGACCGUGUACAAGUCUCCUGGAAUGGAGCGUCAUAGAGGGUGAGAAUCCCGUCUUUGACACGGACUGCCAGGGCUUUGUGAUACGCUCUCAAAGAGUCGAGUUGUUUGGGAAUGCAGCUCAAAAUGGGUGGUAAAUUCCAUCUAAAGCUAAAUAUUGGCGAGAGACCGAUAGCGAACAAGUACCGUGAGGGAAAGAUGAAAAGAACUUUGGAAAGAGAGUUAAACAGUACGUGAAAUUGCUGAAAGGGAAACGCUUGAAGUCAGUCGCGUUGUCCAGGGAUCAACCUUGCUUUUGCUUGGUGUACUUUCUGGUUGACGGGUCAGCAUCAAUUUUGACUGUUGGAAAAAGGUCAGGGGAAUGUGGCAUCUUCGGAUGUGUUAUAGCCCUUGGUUGCAUACAAUGGUUGGGAUUGAGGAACUCAGCACGCCGCAAGGCCGGGUGUAAACCACGUACGUGCUUAGGAUGCUGGCAUAAUGGCUUUAAUCGACCCGU